Non-coding RNA from Pelobates fuscus (common spadefoot toad), 145 nucleotides. RefSeq annotates it as small Cajal body-specific RNA 11. The record is from RefSeq and is a predicted model, not a curated record. Lineage: Eukaryota; Metazoa; Chordata; Amphibia; Anura; Pelobatidae. The transcript has a single exon.
CCCCCCCCACCAUUCUUAUCUAUAGCCCCCACCCACCGCUCAGGGGUGGGGGCCGGGGGGGGGAGGACAGUAGGUUCCCCUCUCCUAUCUUUGUUUAGGGCCCCCACCCACUGCUCAGGGGUGGGGGCCAGGGGGAGAGGACAGU